Molecule: long non-coding RNA, 470 nt
Organism: Trachymyrmex septentrionalis
Lineage: Eukaryota; Metazoa; Arthropoda; Insecta; Hymenoptera; Formicidae
Exons: 3
Source: RefSeq, a predicted model, not a curated record
AGAGUGAAUCGGCGCGGAGCGUGUUUCGGACAAUACAGAUUAUUCUGGGCACGAGGACCGGAUGCUGCGAACGGUCGGCAGGACGUGGAUUUACACGCCACGCUCAGCUGGAGAGAGAUUCUGACCGCUCUCGUUGGUUUUUUGCAUUAGACUGCAUCGUGUUAGAGAGAGACUGCACAAUUUCUAAGACCGGAGCCUGCCUUUCGACAUUCAAAGCCGUCCGCUCUCCACGUUGACGGCGGCGCGGAGGCCGGUCGUCCCCCUAACUUUCUUAUUCAAGAUGUUUUGAGAGCAAUUUAACUUGGACUUCGGCCGAAGAGCACCGGAGAGUCUCGGAGUCGCCCGUGAGUGAGAAGGGAAUUAAGAGCGGAAUAAAACGCGCGGAAGGUAAGCGACUGUGCCGGGCCGUAAUACGGGAAUACGGAGGAGCGACUUGCGGCAGGUUGCAUCGUUCAUCGCGGACAAGUUAA